UGUCCCUCUAGAAAAGAGAAUCAAGCAGACCAUUGUAAGGAUGUCUCUGAAAUCUAAUACAGGAGCUGACCUCAAUGACCCAGUGGUAAAGGAACAGAUGUUGGAGCAGAUCAGAAAGGAGUUUGCUAAGGACGGGAACUUCAUCCUAGGCCCACACUGGAGAGAACUGCUGAAUGGAGACGUUUUUCUCAAAACAGUUAAACUUGGAAGCCCUGAAGAAGGUCAGUGUGGGUCAGGAUGAAGAGGACCAGCCAUGAUGAUGCAACAGGAGAGGGAUGGAAGUCCCAAGAAAACUAAAAUAGUCAAGCUUACUGUAAAUAACCCUAGUACUUUUUAAUAUAUGACCGUAUAUCAAUAACAUUAUCUUAGAUCAUGGGCCAUGUUUUUCUUGAAUGAUAGAUAGCUUUAUGCUUAUGAAUGAAAAAUAUGAUGUCAAGUUAUAUUAGGCUAGAUUUAAACUCUACAAUGUUUUACUAUUGUAAUGUAAAAUUAUAAUGUAAGAUUUUUGUUGGUGCAUAAAUGUAAUGUAAUAAUAUUUGUUGUACAUCAGGGCAAUUUGAUUAGUGAAGAGAAGAGGAAUAAAAAGGACAUUUGUGGUUUUUCAAGUCUGUUGUUAAAACAUGUAUGGUGAAGUUUCAGUGAGGUUUCAGUGAGGGAUCUUUUCAGUGAGGGAGUUUCAGUGAGGGAUUUUCAGAGUGUAAAAUUCUUGAUAAGGAUGUUACUCACUUAUGGAUGUAGCUGUUGACGUUCUUAAAUAAAAUGUGUUUGAUUAGUGACAACAAUAUUACCAUUAUUUUCACCCUCCAGCAAGAAUGGUGAGAUGAAGGCAGUAAUCACAUCAAUGUAGAAUGAUGUGCCCACUUCCAGGUGGCAUCGUUCAGAGAACUGUAAAGAUGGAGACAGACAGACUGUUGUGGGUGUGA
Non-coding RNA from Oncorhynchus mykiss (rainbow trout), 923 nucleotides. The record is from RefSeq and is a predicted model, not a curated record. Lineage: Eukaryota; Metazoa; Chordata; Actinopteri; Salmoniformes; Salmonidae.